GUCUCGGGUGGCUGAGUUGUACUUCCUGAGACAACAUCGUCGACAAUCAUGACUUCCUUGUUUUGUUUUCACCUUGAGUCAUUUGGUCAAUUGUUUGUUCCCAACCUGGUGUUGAACAACAGCGCAUUGCAAGAUGGUAAGAAGAGCAAUCUACUUCUUACCAUCAGAACAGAUGAUCGUGGCGUGAGCAUGAAUAUGUAGAAAAUAAACGCUCAUACUUGAAAGGCUUUUCGUUUUGUAUGUGAUAACUGUGU
This 254-nucleotide long non-coding RNA is filed under the name Setaria italica (foxtail millet). RNAcentral describes it as "long non-coding RNA (SITA_LNC003351)". The record is from RNAcentral. Lineage: Eukaryota; Viridiplantae; Streptophyta; Magnoliopsida; Poales; Poaceae.